Molecule: ribosomal RNA, 206 nt
Filed under: uncultured bacterium
Lineage: Bacteria
Description: partial 16S ribosomal RNA
Rfam family: Bacterial small subunit ribosomal RNA
Source: RNAcentral
CAUGUAGGCGGAUUGAUAAGUUUGAAGUGAAAUCCUAUAGCUUAACUAUAGAACUGCUUUGAAAACUGUUAAUCUAGAAUGUGGGAGAGGUAGAUGGAAUUUCUGGUGUAGGGUAAGAUCCGUAGAGAUCAGAAGGAAUACCGAUUGCGAAGGCGAUCUACUGGAACAUUAUUGACGCUGAGAUGCGAAAGCGUGGGGAGCAAACA